UACGUAGGGGGCUAGCGUUGUCCGGAAUCAUUGGGCGUAAAGCGCGCGUAGGCGGCCCGGUAAGUCCGCUCUGAAAGUCCAGGGCUCAACCCUGGAAAGCGGGUGGAUACUGCCGGGCUAGAAUCCGGAAGAGGCGAGUGGAAUUCCUGGUGUAGCGGUGGAAUGCGUAGAGAUCGGGAAGAACACCAGUGGCGAAGGCGGUCUGCUGGGCCGUUGCUGACGCUGAGGCGCGACAGCGUGGGGAGCAAACAGG
This 253-nucleotide ribosomal RNA is filed under the name uncultured bacterium. Its description in RNAcentral is "partial 16S ribosomal RNA". It matches the Rfam family "Bacterial small subunit ribosomal RNA", at positions 524 to 776 of the family's 1533-position model. The record is from RNAcentral.